CCUGAUAGGACCUAUAAAACAGCGUUGAUACAGAAGAUAUAUGGGCAGACCUCGGAAGAAGAUGGUUAUGUCGAUGGAGCUGGCGAGCACUACAAGCUGUUGGAGUACAAGCUUGCGGGCGUAGUACAAUGAAACAGAAAUGUAGAAGUUUAGAUUACAAGGGAAAACUGAAUUGAAAUUACAGAAAACUGAAACCAGGAGAAAGCCGAGUCGAGGAGGGUCCUCUGUCCGCAAGACGAGAUACGCCCCGGUAGUGCUCUCGGUUUGGCGUGUCGUCCCCAAAGAUGAAACGGCUUCGUCUCGUAGGUAGCAGCACCGCACACCAACGAGC
RNAcentral lists this long non-coding RNA (331 nucleotides) under Salvia miltiorrhiza (redroot sage). RNAcentral describes it as "long non-coding RNA (SMIL_LNC001898)". The record is from RNAcentral. Lineage: Eukaryota; Viridiplantae; Streptophyta; Magnoliopsida; Lamiales; Lamiaceae.